Molecule: long non-coding RNA, 970 nt
Organism: Lytechinus pictus (painted urchin)
Lineage: Eukaryota; Metazoa; Echinodermata; Echinoidea; Temnopleuroida; Toxopneustidae
Exons: 2
Source: RefSeq, a predicted model, not a curated record
AUACCCCUCAUGUUCUCCUCUGCACCCCAUUGUAAUCUGAAGAGUGACUCAACAAUACCCCUCUCUCUAUCGAGCUAUACAAACUCGUCCUGUAUUGUUCCUCUUUUCAAAGAGUGUCUGGGUACACUUCAUGCCAACUACCACCCAAAAAAAAAGACUGAAUAGACUUUAAGCUUUUUAUUCGCGUGAAGGUGAAGAAAAGUGAAUUAUAAAUUCAUUGGCGAGGAACCAUGGUCUAGUGUGGUUUGAGUGGAACUAGGGUUCACUUUGUGAGAAUCAAGCCAUUUUACAUCUAUGGAUAAUACUGGAGUUCACUUUCAAGAAAUCCUUUGAAGGUAAAUUCAAAGUGGAGUACUUAUUAAGAAUCUGAUGUUACCUGGCCAGCUAGGUGAGGAUUUAACAAGGAGUUGCCAACUUUCAUUGAAAAAGCUGUUGGAGCGUCCUCCCUUGAAGGUUAGUCACGACACUUGCACAUGUUUGAUUGUGGAGGAAUCCGGAUAACAACCGUAGGAGAACAAGCAUGAGAGUUUUGGGGGGCAACGCGAUCUAGGUACAUCUAGCUAGCUAGAUUGGUUGAGUCACUCGGCAGUUGAGAAGCUUUCCCUUGGUGCACAUUCAUCUCUGGGCGAUAUAAACCAUCAAACUUUGGGGUCAGACAACAAACCGUAACACACGUUUUCACAGACGAAUCACCAGAACUUUUUGACAUUGCAAUUUGCAUGCUAUAUAGUACUGACCUAUGCAUGCAUUCUAUUCUGCCUGCCAAACGGUGAUCUACAAUUAGCCAUUCAUGAACUUGUGCAUCAGCUGUUUUAAGAAACUUUGCUAAACUGACCUAAAGCACCCAAAGAACAAGGAUUAUAUAUCUAUUGCAUGAUCUGUGAUUAUUUUACAAUGAGGAUAUGAUAUGAUUUAUACCAGUUUAUUGGAUGGAAUAGUGACACAGACAUCUGGAAACAUGUCCGGUAAG